RNAcentral lists this ribosomal RNA (313 nucleotides) under uncultured soil bacterium. RNAcentral's name for it is "bacterial SSU rRNA". It matches the Rfam family "Bacterial small subunit ribosomal RNA", at positions 192 to 486 of the family's 1533-position model. The record is from RNAcentral.
ACCUGGAAACCAGAGCCGGGGACCGCAAGGCCUGGCGCUUGAAGAGGAGCCCGCGUCCGAUUAGCUAGUUGGCGGGGUAAUGGCCCACCAAGGCGACGAUCGGUAGCCGGCCUGAGAGGGCGGACGGCCACACUGGAACUGAGACACGGUCCAGACUCCUACGGGAGGCAGCAGUGGGGAAUUGUUCACAAUGGGCGCAAGCCUGAUGACGCAACGCCGCGUGGGGGAUGAAGGUCUUCGGAUUGUAAACCCCUGUCGAACGGGACGAAAGACUCGGGAGCUAAUCAUNUCGAGAGUGACGGUACCGUUAAAG